GGGGGCCCGAAUCGCCUCAGCCGCCGCCACCGCCGCCGCCAUUACAGGCCGCUCCCCCGCCGGGCGCCAGGAGGGGCGGGAGGGGAGGGCCAUGGCGCCGCCUCCUUCUCCUCCCGCGGCCGCUUGUGGUCCCUCGCCGCGCCGCCCCGGAGGAAAUGCCGCCCGUCCAGUUGUGAGGAUUGGUGACAACUGAGCUGCUUGUUGGCGUAUGCAGUGUGGGAACAGCUGUCUUCGUUGCCCUGGCGAUAAUCUGUCUGGAUUGCAAAUAGUCACCCAGCCAUUUUUGAAAUUGCAUCGGGGUCCGGAAGACACUAAUACUCUCGGAAGCAGCCAAGUGUGGCAGGAUGUUUGGACGAUGAUGAUGGCCAGGAAGCAAGAUGUCCGCAUUCCCACCUACAACAUCAGUGUGGUGGGGCUGUCGGGGACGGAAAAAGAGAAGGGGCAGUGCGGCAUUGGGAAGUCCUGCCUCUGUAAUCGGUUCGUACGUCCCAGGGCAGAUGACUUCCACUUGGACCACACUUCGGUUCUCAGCACGAGCGACUUCGGAGGCAGGGUUGUUAACAAUGACCACUUCCUGUACUGGGGGGAAGUGGUUCGCUCUUUGGAGGACUGUGUGGAAUGUAAAAUGCACAUUGUGGAACAGACUGAAUUUAUUGAUGACCAGACUUUCCAGCCUCACCGCAGCACAGCCCUCCAGCCCUACAUUAAAAGGGCAGCUGCCACCAAACUUGCUUCGGCUGAAAAGCUUAUGUACUUUUGCACUGAUCAGCUCGGACUGGAGCAGGACUUUGAGCAGAAGCAGAUGCCGGACGGGAAACUACUGAUAGACGGCUUUCUUCUCUGCAUCGACGUCAGCCGGGGGAUGAACCGGAGUUUCGACGAUCAGGUCAAGUUUGUCUCGAACCUGUACAAUCAGCUCACAAAAACAAAAAAGCCCAUUGUAGUGGUCCUGACAAAGUGUGACGAAGGCGUGGAGCGGUACAUUCGAGACGCGCACAGUUUUGCCUUAAGCAAGAAGAACCUCCAGGUGGUGGAGACGUCUGCCAGAUCCAAUGUGAACGUCGACUUGGCUUUCAGCACUUUAGUGCAGCUGAUUGACAAGAGCCGGGGGAAGACUAAAAUUAUCCCUUACUUUGAGGCUCUGAAGCAGCAGAGUCAGCAGAUCGCUGCUGCGAAAGAUAAGUACGAGUGGCUGGUGAGCCGCAUUGUCAAAAGCCACAACGAGACUUGGUCGAAUGUCUCGCGGAAGAUGCAGUCCUCCCCGGAGUAUCAGGAUUACGUGUAUCUGGAAGGGACGCAGAAAGCCAAGAAGCUCUUCCUGCAGCACAUCCAUCGCCUCAAACAGGAGCACAUAGAGCGCCGGAGGAAAUUGUACCUGGCCUCUCUGCCUCGUGCUUUUGAUGCCCUCAUUCCGGACCUGGAUGAAAUAAAUCACUUGAGCUGCCUCAAAGUGGAGAAGCAGUUGGAGAGUAAGCCGGACUUUUUGAAGUGGUUUGUUGUUCUUGAGGAGACUCCCUGGGAUGCAACCAGUCAUAUAGACAACAUGGAGAACGAUCGCAUUCCAUUUGACCUGAUGGAGACUUUGCCUGCACAGCAGCUCUAUGAAGCCCAUCUAGAAAAGCUGAGGAAUGAGAGGAAGAAAGCAGAAAUGAGAAGGGCUUUCAAGGAGAAUUUGGAGACAUCCCCUUUCAUAACCCCUGGAAAACCUUGGGAAGAGGCGCGCAGUUUCAUCAUGAAUGAAGAAUUUUACAUGUGGCUUGAAGAAUCUGUUUACAUGGAUAUUUAUAGCAAACAUCAAAAGCGAAUCAUAGAGAAGGCAAAGGAGGAGUUUCAAGAGCUGCUUCUAGAAUAUUCCGAACUGUUCUAUGAGCUGGAGCUUGAUGCCAAACCCAGCAAGGAGAAAAUGGGUGUUAUCCAGGAUGUGUUGGGUGAAGAGCAAAGAUUUAAAGCGUUACAGAAGCUUCAGGCUGAACGAGAUGCUCUAAUUCUGAAGCACAUUCAUUUCGUCUACCACCCAAUGAAAGAAACGUGCCCCAGUUGUCCAAUCUGCAUAGAUGCUAAAAUUGAGCAUUUGAUAAGCUCCAGGUUUAUAAGGCCGUCUGAUCGCAAUCAGAAGAACUUGCUUUCAGAGUGCAGUAUUGACAGAAUCAAUCUCGUGAUUCUUGGUAAAGAUGGACUUGCCCGGGAGCUGGCAAAUGAGAUUCGAGCUCUUUGCACAAAUGAUGACAAGUAUGUGAUAGACGGGAAAAUGUACGAGCUGUCCUUGAGGCCAAUAGAGGGUAAUGUUAGGCUUCCUGUUAAUUCUUUCCAGACACCAACGUUUCAGCCGCACGGUUGCCUCUGCCUUUAUAACUCUAAGGAAUCUCUGUCUUACGUUGUUGAAAGCAUUGAAAAGAGUAGGGAGUCGACUCUAGGCCGAAGGGACAACCACUUAGUUCAUCUUCCCUUGACUCUGAUACUAGUGAACAAGAGAGGCGAUACCAGUGGUGAAACACUACACAGCUUGAUACAGCAAGGCCAGCAGAUUGCCAGUAAGCUGCAGUGUGUCUUCCUUGACCCAGCUUCUGCUGGCAUUGGGUAUGGGCGCAACAUUAAUGAGAAGCAAAUCAGCCAGGUCCUCAAAGGACUGCUGGACUCCAAGCGCAACUUAAACCUUGUGAGCUCAACAGCUAGCCUUAAAGAUCUUGCUGACCUUGACCUUCGAAUUGUCAUGUGCUUGUUGUGCGGAGAUCCUUUUAACGCGGACGACAUCCUUCUGCCCAUUCUGCAGUCCCAAAGCUGUCGGCCCUCCCAGUGUGGAAGCAGCAAUUCUGUGUUACUUGAACUUCCGGUCGGACCGCACAAGAGGCGCAUCGAACUGUCCUUGCUUUCGUACCAUUCCUCGUUUAGCAUUAGGAAAAGCUGGUUGGUCCAUGGUUACAUUUUGUUCUAUUCAGCUAAACGUAAAGCAUCCUUGGCUAUGUUACGUGCCUUUCUUUGUGAAGUACAGGACAUCGUCCCCAUUCAGAUAGUGGCUCUCACUGAUGGCUCCAUAGAUGUCCUAGACAACGAUUUGAGCAGAGAACAGCUAACAGAGGGAGAGGAAAUUGCCCUGGAUAUAGAUGGAAAGUUUACAACCAUUCCUUGCAGUCACCCUCAACACAAACUUGAGAUUUUUCACCCGUUUUUCAAGGAUGUGGUGGAGAAAAAAAACAUAAUUGAAGCCACCCAUAUGUAUGAUAAUGCGGCAGAAGCCUGCAGUACAACAGAAGAAGUAUUUAAUUCCCCCCGGGCUGGCUCUCCUCUGUGUAAUUCAAACCUUCAGGAUUCAGAGGAGGACAUUGAGCCUCCAACCUACAGCCCUUUCAGAGAGGACACAUCUAUGCCCACUUUGUCCAAAGAUCUUUCUAAACUUUCUAUGGAACUGGAGGGGAACGAUGGUCUUUCUGUCUUUUCUGUAAUGAGCACUUUUGAAAGCAAACUGAACAACAAAGUACCUCCGCCAGUGAAACCAAAGCCCCCUGUCCACUUUGAUAUUACAAAGGGGGAUCUCUCUUAUUUGGAUCCAGGGCAUAGGGAGGGACAGAGGAAGUCUGUGACUUCCAGUAACUGGCCAGCCACAGACGGCUUUGACCCUUCUGAUUACGCAGAGCCCAUGGAUGCGGUAGUAAAACCGAGAAAUGAGGAGGAAAAUAUCUACUCUGUGCCUCACGACAGCACCCAAGGCAAAAUCAUCACCAUUCGCAAUAUUAACAAAACCCACUCCAACGGUAGCGGGAAUGGCUCAGACAGUGAAAUGGACACCAGCUCACUUGAACGUGGCCGAAAGAUGUCCACCCUUAGCAAACCAGUGUUGUAUCGGACAAGGUGCUCGAGGCUUGGGAGAUUUGCCAGUUACAGGACCAGUUUUAGUGUAGGGAGUGAUGAUGAGCUGGGGCCCAUUAGGAAGAAAGAGGAAGACCCGACCUCCCAAGGAUAUAAAGGAGAUAAUGCGAUCAUCCCGUAUGAAACUACUGAUGAAGAUCCGAGGAAAAGGAACAUCUUGCGUAGCUUGAGGAGGACCACAAAGAAACCAAAGCCUAAGCCUCGGCCGUCCAUCACAAAGACGACAUGGGAGAGCAACUACUUUGGGGUGCCUUUGAUCACUGUGGUGACACCAGAGAAACCCAUUCCCAUUUUUAUUGAGAGAUGCAUCGAGUACAUUGAAGCAACAGGUUUGAGCACAGAAGGUAUCUAUCGGGUUAGUGGAAACAAGUCUGAGAUGGAGAGCUUACAGCGGCAGUUUGAUCAAGAUCACGGCCUGGACUUUGCAGAGAAGGACUUCACAGUGAAUGCUGUCGCUGGAGCCAUGAAGAGUUUCUUCUCUGAGCUGCCUGAUCCCCUGGUUCCCUACAACAUGCAGGUCGAGCUGGUGGAGGCUCACAAGAUCAAUGACAGAGAGACGAAACUGCAUGCCCUGAAGGAGGUGCUGAAGAAAUUUCCCAAGGAGAACCACGAGGUCUUCAAAUACGUCAUCUCUCAUUUGAACAAAGUGAGCCACAACAGCAGACUCAACCUGAUGACCAGCGAGAACCUCUCCAUUUGCUUCUGGCCCACCCUGAUGAGGCCCGACUUCAGCACGAUGGAUGCCCUCACCGCCACCCGCAUUUACCAGACAAUCAUAGAACUCUUCAUCCACCAGUGCCCCUUCUUCUUCUACAAUCGGCCCAUCAUCGAGCCCCCCGGGGCCAUGCCCAGCUCGCCUUCCACCAUUCCUGCCAGCGCCCCCUUCCUCUCCUCCACACCCGUGAUGGCCCAGCCUUCUCCUCCACAGACUCCUCCCCCUUCUCCGCAGUCCCCCCUCCAGCCCCUCCUCCCCCCCCAGCUUCAGGCUGAGCAGCACACACUGUGAAACCUCAAGAGCAGCUCGGAACAGAGGUCUGCUUCUGUUCUUGCCCGCAGAGCAGAGCUCGGGAACUCAGCCCCGGUGCCCGUCGGCCUUCUCUUUCCUCACCUCAGCCACGCCGGCAGUGGCCUGCUGGGGCAUUGGACACCUGUGAAGCCUUGGUUCUGUCUCAGUGCCUGGUGUGGAAGGGCCCGCUGGGUCCGUGGCCCCUUUGGAUGUUGCUCUGGGCACCAGGCAUUUGCGGGCCUCUCUCUUUGAAUGCCGAAUCUGUUCAGUUGGGGUACACUUAGACCCACGUGAACCCAGAGCCCUGGGUGAACGCUGUGAAGUCCAGCUGGGAGGCCCUGAUGUGAGGGUUCGGAUGGGCGUGUGGGAAUCACUUCCUUCCCCCCUCCCUGUGCAUGAACGGAGCGGGCCUGAUAGAGCCGCCGCCACCUCCUCCACCCAACACAUUCCACAAGUCGUAACCGAGGACUCUCCGACACUGCUGGACAUCUCGCUGAUUUUUCAGGGGACCACAAUUUCAUCUGAGACCAAUUUACGUCAUCUCAGCCUCGCUGCUUUGAAGGCCCGGACCAGCAAGUCCGUCAGAGGGGAAGGCUUUUUGCAUUUUGACAAGGCCGGAAUGUCACUUUUUCUCCUGACUGUGAAGCAGCGGCCAGUCGUAAAAAGGGAGGGAACUCCUGAAGAGGCUGGGGGAAAGAAAGGAAUGCUAAAAAAACCGGAAGGAUGCCCCUCCCUCCAAUUCUUCUGGCUGGGCGGGGGGGGGGGGGGGUGGUCCCUAGUCUGCAAACGAGUGUUGACAACUGGCUCUUUUUCUAUGAGGGAAGAAUCUGUGCAUGGCAGACAUAAGGGCAGGGGGAAGGUGACUUGGGUUAAAUCAGGCCUGGUUUGUCCUGCCUCCAUCUGGCAAGUCACUGCAUCUCUCACUCUCACCUCCGCCUCCCCCCCCCUCAUGGCAUAUUGGUGUUAGCACUUAGGGGAGGGGGGGGCAGUGAGCACAGCUGUGUUUUGCCAACAGUCCUAUCUUUUGCCGUCUGACUUGGGCUCGAAUUCCUUUUUGAAACACUAUGUUGACAGAAACACUGUUUGAAUGUGUGUGUUUUUGUACUCAUGUGGGGCAUGAGAUCGCUUGCAAAUGGGUGUGUGUGUGUGUGCUAGAACCACAGUUUUUGAAAAAGUUGCCAAUGGAAACUUUAAAAAAAACACACACAAGUGUGGAAUGUGAUGCAGGAUUGAAAUGGAGGGAAUUGCAGGUCUGUCAAGCUCCCUUCCACUGAGUGUUGAAUUUGGGAGAGGCUGCUUUUGGAGACUAAGAGAGCCACAUGCUGCUGUGACCCCCCUGGGGUGGGUUCUUGGGUGUGUUUGACUCAGGAGGCCCAGAGCCUGUUUCCAGGGGCUGUUGGGGUCAGGGUCUGGGCCAGGCCCUUCGUUGCUUUCUACUGCUCGGAUCUCUCAGUAACCAUGUUGAAGGGCAGCGGCCGAGGUCGCUGUUAGGUUCUUCAAGGUCUUUAAACAUAUCAGCCUUGUGGCAGGAUCAGCUGCCUUGCCAAAACCAGCACAGGAGAAGAGCGCUCUGUGCAUGCCCCCAAGUUGCUGUGGCCCAUUCUCCGCCCUGCCCCCAAACUGCAAGAUAUCCGUGCCACAUCUCCGCUGUUUUUUGUGUGCUCUCGUGCAGCAGUGUGCUAGCUUCCUUGUCCCCGCUUUCUGUUGCCCUUUGCCCACGCCAAAAGCCGUUGUCUCCCCUGAUGAGACCUCAAACCUGUAAUCUCCAAUGCCUUUCGUAACCAGGAUAUGUGCUGGAUAAGCUGCACAAUGUCCCUUUGCCUCAAGUGACUUCUGCUUGUCUCCCUGUAGGGAAAGAGACAAAGAAGGCAACCACUAGUGAGAACCAUCCAGUGUUCCACUUUUACCAGUGCAGGGGGGAAGGGCAGUUGUCCGUGUCCAGCGUGCAGGCAUUUCUCAGUGCACGAGUGUAAGAAAGAGCAGGUAAACAGGGCAGUUUUUAAACUGGAGUUCCCACGGUACCACUGGGAGGAUGAAGAGUCCCUUCUGUCUCUUCGCACUUUAAAACAACCUGUGGUUUAUCACUUUUUUUUUAAGCAUUUCAAGGAUGUUUGAGUGAAAUACCUGGGGGAGGGAAAGGGGUGUCCUCCCCCGCCCCCUUCACAAUCAAGCCCCUCUUUUUACUCUACUUCUGCCUGGCCUACAUAAGCUCCCCUCCCGGCAUCUUCAGCGAUCUGUUCUCUCCUCUAAAUAAACUGAUUCAUGUGCUCAUUAUUUCACAAUCAGAAUUGAGAAGCUGUACCGGUGUCAGGAAGAACCACUUGUGGGCGUCCCUCCCAAGUUUUGUAUUCUCGUGUGUUUGGAAAUGAAGCUUUUAUGUAAAUAUUGGAUUAUUUUUUUUUUUUAGAAUGUUAACAAAGGGAAACUGAAUAUGCCUCCUCUCUCUCCAUAAUUGUGCACGCAUAAUGCUAAAAAUCAACAGAGCAGAGAGGAAGGUGAUGCUGGACGGUUUCCCCUUCAGCUUUCCUCCUAGCAGAGGGGAGAGCUGCUUUCAUGCCGGGCUGUGCUCGUGGGUGUCGGGUUUGGCUACAAACAACAUAGGCUGCUGGGAAAUGCUUCUCUCCACGUGGGGCAGGUGACUUCUGGUUUGUAUGCAAAGUGUGUGUUUCUGUGCCUUCUCUCUGGGUCUGAUGCUAACCAUCUUCAAGACUCCUCAACACCUGUGGAGAUACAGACAGGGCUAGCCUUCCUGGCCAGGUGUCCGUGGGAACGCUUGUUCCCUGUGGCAUCCUUUCCUUCCUUCCCAAUUCACAGCUUGCCUUCGACCCCCCCCCCCCCCGGCAGCACACCUUAAAUGCCCCUCACUGACCCUGCAGCUGGUGCGGCCGGCAAACACAACCUUGGUAGUUCCCUACCCCUGACCUAUGGCCUUCCAGAUCUGUCUUUAGUUGGAAGUCUACCAUAGGCUUAGUUUUAUUUGGGGUCCCCAGCCUGGGGCUUAUGAUCCAUUGGCACCUGCUGACACCUUUUCUGGGUGUUUUUAAGAAAUUGGGUGUGGCCAGGUUGGAAUGUUGCCCAGCAGGGAUUCUGAUUGGCCAUUGAAAAUUUGACUGGCUGUGCAGGGUUUUUUUUUUUUUGCUGUCACCGCCACUGCCAACAUAUCGCGAGGAUCUUCACUGUGUGGCUAAAGAAAAGCUGGGGCAGCCAUUUUGUAUCUGCCUCCUGCCGCACCCAUCUUGUGGCUGUGCCUACCAGUCAAGUUCCAAAGGUUUGAGGACCCUUUUUUUAGAUGCAGAAGAGUUACUGCUUUUGUGUGGGGUGGACCUCACAGUUCUCUUCUCUCCACUUUUUCCCCACCUGCAACCUUGCAAGUCUGCUACAUGCAUGAAGAAGAAACGUGCGCUGAUGCCCCCCCCCUUCCUGCCUGCCUGCUUCCCACCCCGUCUUCUCCGCUUGACACGCAUGACUUCAAGUGCCCGUUUUGAAUGGGGUUGAAUCUUGUUCCUCCUGUGGGGAGAAGGUUAAGCCAACAGUGCAAGUUAAUAUCAAUACAGUGCAAAAAAAAAGAGUAAACGUGCAAAUGUUCUAUAUGUCUAUACCAGUGAUGGCGAACCUUUUCGAGAUCGAGUGCCCAAACUGCAACCCAAAACCCACUUAUUUAUCGCAAAGUGUCAA
This is an RNA transcript of Sphaerodactylus townsendi, 8545 nucleotides long. It is a transcript of the gene named Rho GTPase activating protein 35, with no coding region annotated. The transcript is spliced from 8 exons. NCBI's taxonomy places the organism in Eukaryota, Metazoa, Chordata, Lepidosauria, Squamata, Sphaerodactylidae. The record is from RefSeq and is a predicted model, not a curated record.